GGUAGCGUGGCUGGGCGGUCUAAGGCUCUGGAUUAAGGCUCUAGUCUCUUUGGCGGUGUGGGUUUGAAUCCCACUGCUGCCA
Transfer RNA from Lepisosteus oculatus (spotted gar), 82 nucleotides. It matches the Rfam family "tRNA". From Rfam's summary of the family: Transfer RNA (tRNA) molecules are approximately 80 nucleotides in length. NCBI's taxonomy places the organism in Eukaryota, Metazoa, Chordata, Actinopteri, Semionotiformes, Lepisosteidae. The record is from Rfam.